UUAACACUUCUUAACAGCUCUCC
RNAcentral lists this non-coding RNA (23 nucleotides) under Arabidopsis thaliana (thale cress). Lineage: Eukaryota; Viridiplantae; Streptophyta; Magnoliopsida; Brassicales; Brassicaceae. The record is from RNAcentral.